UGUUGUUCCACCUAUAGGGUUGCAGAUCC
Molecule: non-coding RNA, 29 nt
Filed under: Mus musculus (house mouse)
Lineage: Eukaryota; Metazoa; Chordata; Mammalia; Rodentia; Muridae
Source: RNAcentral